RNAcentral lists this ribosomal RNA (254 nucleotides) under uncultured bacterium. Its description in RNAcentral is "partial 16S ribosomal RNA". It matches the Rfam family "Bacterial small subunit ribosomal RNA", at positions 524 to 776 of the family's 1533-position model. The record is from RNAcentral.
UACGGAGGGGGCAAGCGUUGUUCGGAAUUACUGGGCGUAAAGGGCGCGCAGGCGGCUGCUCAAGUCAGGCGUGAAAGGCCUGGGCUCAACCCGGGAAUUGCGCUUGAGACUGGGCUGGCUUGAGUGCGGGAGAGGAUGGUGGAAUUCCCAGUGUAGAGGUGAAAUGCGUAGAUAUCUGGAGGAGCACCGGUGGCGAAGGCGGCGUUCUGGACUGCAACUGACACUGAGAGACGAAAGCCAGGGGAGCAAACGGG